GAGAGAGUUACAAAUAAUUUGGUAAACAAGGGUCGCAGAACAAAAUCUCUGUUUGGCAGAAUUCAUAAGGUCAGAUUCAAUAGAUAACUGGGCAAGUGUUUGGACUCCAAAUAUUUCAAUCCAUAUAUCAAAAGAAAGAUCUACGAGUCUAGUUUCCAAUGAAAUCAGUUUUGAACAAAUCGGAGUUUCCAACAAAGACUUAUAGGCAGCUCGGUAUCAAAAGGUCAGAAUCUCAAAAGUUGCACAGAUUCGAAUUGUUACGUCUAAACAGGAGAUAUAUUAAAUGCAAGGCUAGAACAAUUCAAAGUUCC
Molecule: long non-coding RNA, 311 nt
Filed under: Musa acuminata (dwarf banana)
Lineage: Eukaryota; Viridiplantae; Streptophyta; Magnoliopsida; Zingiberales; Musaceae
Description: long non-coding RNA (MACU_LNC005754)
Source: RNAcentral